CAGGGGGUUAUCUGGAGGUUAUCAGGGGGUUAUUUGGAGGUUAUCUGGAGGUUUUCAGGUGUUCGUUAGGGGUGUGUCCAGUUAAUAUAAAUCUGUUAAUUAGAGACGAUCGGACUGACUUCCUAUCUGGAAAUUAAACGGACUUCACACGAAGGACUGACGAUGAAGACGUUGGUGAUGAAGAGGAAGUCACAUGGGACGAUGUUGCGCAUUUCUGCUUUAUCACCGUUAUUAAUUAUUAUUAUUGUUAUUAUUAUUAAUCGGCUUUGGUGUGUGUGUGUGUGUGUGUGUGUGUGUGUGUGUGUGUGUGUGUGUGUGUGUGUGUGUGUGUGUGUGUGUGUGUGUGUGUGUGUGUGUGUGUGUGUGUGUGUGUGUGUGUGUGUGUGUGUGUGAGUGUGAGAAAGCGCUCUCUCUGAUGACAUCACUGUGACCUCACCAUCUGAUUAGUUAUUCAAUUAAGGGACUUUUAGGGCAACGUUUUGGGGGGUUGAAAAAGUAAAAGGUUGUUAAAUCAAAACAUUUUACGCUGACACAUUAUUAAAGAUUUAAGUGGAUUAUUUAUUUGGUUUAAGGUGUUUUUAAGAAGCUUAAACACCUUAACUUUAAAAUAGCAUUUUUGAAAUUUUGGCUUAAAAGAUAGAUAUAUAUAUAUAAGGAAGAUAAACAAGUUAAUGUAAAGUCAUUAAACCACACAGAUCAUCUGAUCUACAACAACCCAUUUACAUCCCCCAUUAUAUGAAAGUAUUACAGGGUUCAAAUAUUCCUUUGUAUGAUUUUGGCGCUUUUCAGGGCUUCUAAAAAACUUAAUUUGACCAAAUACCAUAAAAACGCUCCCCUUUAUUUUAAGAGUAUUUUAUAGUAUAGAUUUAUGAAUGGCUUUCAUGGUUUUUGGUCAAUUUAAAGGAUUUUCUUACCCUUAAUUUGUUAUUAAAUCCAUGCAGAUAAUCUAAUCUAAAACCCAUUAGAUUUGGAUUAAUAACGAAGGAGUAAAACACCCUAACAGGGGCUUUAAUGUCAUCCGGUUCAUGUUAAGGCUUUUAAUAUUUUACCCCUUAAAUGUUUUUAAGCUUUUCAGAUCAUUUAAUUUACCCCCUUAACAUCCCUUUACAGUUACCUCAAUAAUAUCAUGUAUUGUUCAACGCCUUAAAUCCAACUCUUAAAAAACUUCAUUUGUAUUUGUUUGCCUUAAUUUAGUUUAAUUUGCCUUAAAAAUAGAUUUAAUCAAUCCUUAUUAUCACAACACCAUCUAAAUAUUUCCCCUUAAAAUGCCCUUCACCUUCAAGGCAUCAGAGCAUUCCCUUCAGUGAAACGUGGAGGAGCCUUUAACGAGAGGUUCGUCCCGCUCUGAGGAACAGCUGGAUAAACGGUAAUGAAAAUACUAAAUGUCAUUAAACGUCCCUGAACUUUGACCUGGUGUGAAAAUGUCCGGCUGUUUUAAUGCUAAUUAAGAACGUUUUGUUCUUGCUCUUAACGCCUUAAUUGAAUUAUUAGGAUUUAAGGUAGACAACAUGAAACCCCCGACCAGAGCGGAGUUUAUUGAUCGAGCGCCUUAAAAAUCUGACUUCAUUAUGGAACCGACAAAAACUGCCUUAAAGAAAUUAGUCAACGCCUUAAACUGAGAAGUUAGUCUUUAAAAUUCUUAAAAACUAUAAUACAAAUAGUAGUUCAGGGACUACAGGGAGCCUGGGGCAUCGAGAAACUGAAAUGAACAUGGGGCGCUGAGGGACAGAGUUAAGCGUGGGGCGUUGAGGAAUCCAAACGAAUGUAGGGCGUUCAGCAACUAUAUCACUGUGGGGCGUUCAGGAACCGCAACAAGCAUGGGGCGUUCAGGAACCAAAAUUGAAAUGGGGCAUUGAGGGACUAAUUUGAGCCGGCGGCGUUCAGGAACAUAAACGUCUAUGGGGUGUUCAGGGACUAAAAAAAUCAAAUGUUUAACUUUUAAACAAGCACCCUGAACGUCACACGACUCGAGAGUUACAGUUUCUGAUUUUAUGAAUAAAUAAAGUAUUAAAAUAUAUUCAGUGAAAAUAUCGCUUCAGACUAUCACCCGUUAGUGCAAAGACAUGGUACCUCAACUACAUUACCCACAAUCCACUAGUGUUGCUGCUGUUCUGUGCAUUGACAGCAGGAGGAGCUGAUUAGGCUGUGUGUGUGUGUGUGUGUGUGUGUGUGUGUGUGUGUGUGUGUGUGUGUGUGUGUGUGUGUGUGUCCUCCUGAUGACAUCACUGUCCUGUGCAGCUCCUUGUGUGUUGAUGUUUGUUCAGCAGAGGAAGAGGCUGCUUCCUGCCAAAGAAGUUUCUGUGUGUGUCUGUGUGUGUGUGUGUGUGUGUGUGUGUGUGUGUGUGUGUGUGUGUACAGUAGGAUACACUUCAGCUUGUUGAACCUCUGUGUGCUCUCGUCCAAUCAGAGCGCUGCGUUACAAACAUAAUAAACUAAAUAAAACCCA
Eleginops maclovinus (Patagonian blennie) is the source of this 2446-nucleotide long non-coding RNA. RefSeq lists it as uncharacterized. The record is from RefSeq and is a predicted model, not a curated record. Lineage: Eukaryota; Metazoa; Chordata; Actinopteri; Perciformes; Eleginopidae. The transcript is spliced from 2 exons.